AUAUACGACCGUACCGCAAACCGACACUGGUGCGCGAGAUGAGUAUUCUAAGGCGCUUGAGAGAACUCAGGAGAAGGAACUCGGCAAAUUGACACCGUAACUUCGGAAGAAGGUGUGCCCUAUUAGUGUGUAGUUAACAACGAAGCAUGAAUGGGUUGCAAAAAAUCGGUGGCUGCGACUGUUUAUUAAAAACACAGCACUCUGCAAACACGAAAGUGGACGUAUAGGGUGUGACGCCUGCCCGGUGCUGGAAGAUUAAAUGAUGGGGUGCAAGCUCUUGAUUGAAGCCCCAGUAAACGGCGGCCGUAACAAUAACGGUCCUAAGGUAGCGAAAUUCCUUGUCGGGUAAGUUCCGACCUGCACGAAUGGCGUAACGAUGGCCACACUGUCUCCUCCUGAGACUCAGCGAAGUUGAAAUGUUUGUGAUGAUGCAAUCUCCCCGCGGAAAGACGGAAAGACCCCAUGAACCUUUACUGUAGCUUUGUAUUGGACUUUGAACAGAUCUGUGUAGGAUAGGUGGGAGGCUUUGAAGCAGGGUCGCUAGAUCUUGUGGAGCCAACGUUGAAAUACCACCCUGGUGUGUUUGAGGUUCUAACCUAGGUCCAUUAUCUGGAUCGGGGACAGUGCAUGGUAGGCAGUUUGACUGGGGCGGUCUCCUCCCAAAGCGUAACGGAGGAGUUCGAAGGUACGCUAGUUACGGUCGGACAUCGUGACGAUAGUGCAAUGGCAUAAGCGUGCUUAACUGCGAGACUGACAAGUCGAGCAGAUGCGAAAGCAGGACAUAGUGAUCCGGUGGUUCUGUAUGGAAGGGCCAUCGCUCAACGGAUAAAAGGUACUCUGGGGAUAACAGGCUGAUACCGCCCAAGAGUUCAUAUCGACGGCGGUGUUUGGCACCUCGAUGUCGGCUCAUCUCAUCCUGGGGCUGUAGCCGGUCCCAAGGGUAUGGCUGUUCGCCAUUUAAAGAGGUACGUGAGCUGGGUUUAAAACGUCGUGAGACAGUUUGGUCCCUAUCUUCCGUGGGCGCUGCAGAUUUGAGGAAGCCUGCUCCUAGCACGAGAGGACCGGAGUGGACACACCUCUGGUGUAUCGGUUGUCACGCCAGUGGCAUUGCCGAGUAGCUAAGUGUGGAAGAGAUAACCGCUGAAAGCAUCUAAGCGGGAAACUCGUUUCAAGAUGAGAUCUGCCGGGGCCUUGAGCCCCCUAAAGAGUCGUUCAAGACCAGGACGUUGAUAGGUCAGGUGUGGAAGC
RNAcentral lists this ribosomal RNA (1248 nucleotides) under metagenome. RNAcentral's name for it is "bacterial LSU rRNA". It matches the Rfam family "Bacterial large subunit ribosomal RNA", at positions 1634 to 2874 of the family's 2925-position model. The record is from RNAcentral.